GAACUGCGAUAAGUAAUGUGAAUUGCAGAAUUCAGUGAAUCAUCGAGUCUUUGAACGCACAUUGCGCCCCCUGGCAUUCCGGGGGGCAUGCCUGUCCGAGCGUCAUUGCUGCCCUUCAAGCCCGGCUUGUGUGUUGGGUCGUCGUCCCCCCCGGGGGACGGGCCCGAAAGGCAGCGGCGGCACCGUGUCCGGUCCUCGAGCGUAUGGGGCUUUGUCACCCGCUCGAUUAGGGCCGGCCGGGCGCCAGCCGGCGUCUCCAACCUUAUUUUUCUCAGGUUGACCUCGGAUCAGGUAGGGAUACCCGCUGAACUUAAGC
RNAcentral lists this unclassified non-coding RNA (316 nucleotides) under plant metagenome. RNAcentral's name for it is "partial contains 5.8S ribosomal RNA, internal transcribed spacer 2, and large subunit ribosomal RNA". The stretch from base 1 to 105 matches the Rfam family "5.8S ribosomal RNA", at positions 50 to 154 of the family's 154-position model. The record is from RNAcentral.